AGACCAGGAAGUGAAAGUAUUUUUGUCAGUAUUAGACUAUGGUGAUGAAAUUUAUAUGCAUGCAUCUUCAUCUCUGUUGAAAAAACUGGAUGUAGUCUAUCAUGCUGCCCUGCGGUUUGUAACUUGUGCAAGUGUACAUACGCACCAUUGUAACUUAUAUGAAAUGGUUCAAUGGACUUCAUUGUAUUCAAGGAGAAAAACCCAUAUGUUAAUUUUUAUUUUUAAAGCUUUACUGGGUAAACUACCGCAGUACAUAUCCGGCUUACUGAAAUAUUACUCCAGUAGCCAUAACACUAGAUCCUCAGAGAAAAUUCUCCUCAUGGUCCCAAGUAUUCGAACAGAACUGGGUAAAUCAGCCUUUUCCUUUCAUGCCCCGCAUGUCUGGAAUGAGUUACAAGGCAUUCUUAAUCUAAAAUCCUUACCCUCUCUUGACAUGUAUAAAGAUAUAUUAAAAUCUGUUUUUACUGAACAAUGUUAUUGCUUUUAGCAACAAGUGCCUUUUAGCUCCUGAUCCUUGUAUGUCUGUUUUUUAUUAUAUAUUUUUAUUUUUUAUUUUUCUAUUUUCUUUGGUAUGUUUUUAAUAUGAAACUUUUAUUUUCCUGCUGCCAUCUUGGCCAGGACUCCCUGGCAGAAGAGAUAUUGUAUCUCAAUGGGACCUUCCUGGUUAAAUAAAGGAUAAAAAAUUUUUUAAAAGCCACAUGUAUACAGCGGUGAAUCAGUAAAUAGAUCCAUUCGCUUCUACACACAAAGACUGAUGAAUGAAUGUCUUUUCACUCCAUGUCACUGUGAACGAGUUACCAGUAAACGUUUCUUCAGCUACAACAACAACUCUUUCUUCAUUUUGAGUGGAGUUUACCUUCGUGUUUAGUCUGCGGUUCUUACACCCUUACGAGAACCCUAAAGUACAGUAUGCCAUGAACUCAUGAAAUAAAAACUACAGAAUGUAAGGCUAACGUGUUUUGUUGUUUUUUGUUUGUUAAUAUUUUCCCCUUCAUUAUUGUAGCCACACUUUACCUUAUGUUUGAUUUGCAUAUGUAACAUGGUUAAUAAUGAUUACACUUGCCAUUGUACCAGAGGUGUAUGUGUGUAUUUUGGGUCUAGUGUUCUGUCACUUUAAAAUACUUGUGUAGUUGCCUUUAAGGGAAUGACGCACGUUACGUUCUUCCCAGUUUAACUUGCCCAUGCAAGCGAUCACCAUUGCUGAAGAUACAUGUUGAGAACAGUCCAGUGAUCGCACUGUUUGUUAUCAGAAUAAAUCAGCUCAACUGGGAAUCCUGGUUUGUCGUGCUUUUACACAACACAACGCAAGAUCACGCCUGUUACACAUACACGUGGAUGAAUGAAAUAAAACAUCAAAAAGCUUCCCUGGGUGGCAUACAUCUUCAGCUAUUAUGCUCUUACUCAAAUUUCCCCAAGUUGUAUUUUGUGAAGACAAGCUCCUGCACAUGAGAUGGCAGUGGCGUCAGACGUAUCCAGCAUUAUAGCAUCAAUUUAUGUACCAGUAAUGACCUAAUUUGAUAAAGAUUAUGAAAGCAUAUAUUGCAAAACUAUUUUAUUGAAAUAAAGGACAUAACUCAAUUUGAGUUGUAA
Anguilla rostrata (American eel) is the source of this 1590-nucleotide long non-coding RNA. RefSeq lists it as uncharacterized. NCBI's taxonomy places the organism in Eukaryota, Metazoa, Chordata, Actinopteri, Anguilliformes, Anguillidae. The transcript is spliced from 3 exons. The record is from RefSeq and is a predicted model, not a curated record.